CAGCACCUCAAGUGGUCAGGAUGAUUAUUGGGCCUAAAGCAUCCGUAGCCGGCGCUGUAAGUUUUCGGUUAAAUCUGUACGCUCAACGUACAGGCUGCCGGGAAUACUGCAGCGCUAGGGAGUGGGAGAGGUAGACGGUACUCGGUAGGAAGGGGUAAAAUCCUUUGAUCUAUUGAUGACCACCUGUGGCGAAGGCGGUCUAUCAGAACACGUCCGACGGUGAGGGAUGAAAGCUGGGGGAGCAAACCGGAUUAGAUACCCGAGUAGUCC
RNAcentral lists this ribosomal RNA (270 nucleotides) under uncultured archaeon. Its description in RNAcentral is "partial 16S ribosomal RNA". It matches the Rfam family "Archaeal small subunit ribosomal RNA", at positions 477 to 747 of the family's 1478-position model. The record is from RNAcentral.